RNAcentral lists this ribosomal RNA (450 nucleotides) under uncultured bacterium. Its description in RNAcentral is "bacterial SSU rRNA". It matches the Rfam family "Bacterial small subunit ribosomal RNA", at positions 354 to 796 of the family's 1533-position model. The record is from RNAcentral.
GUGAGGAAUAUUGGGCAAUGGGCGAAAGCCUGACCCAGCCACGCCGCGUGAGUGAUGAAGGCCUUCGGGUUGUAAAGCCCUUUUGUACGGGAAGAAAUCAUUCGGGUUAAUACCCUGGGUGGAUGACGGUACCGUAAGAAUAAGCACCGGCUAACUUCGUGCCAGCAGCCGCGGUAAUACGAAGGGUGCAAGCGUUAAUCGGAAUUACUGGGCGUAAAGCGCGCGUAGGUGGUUUUGUAAGUUGGAGGUGAAAUCCCCGGGCUCAACCUGGGAACUGCCUCCAAAACUGCAUGACUAGAGUACGGUAGAGGGUAGUGGAAUUUCCUGUGUAGCGGUGAAAUGCGUAGAUAUAGGAAGGAACACCAGUGGCGAAGGCGACUACCUGGACUGAUACUGACACUGAGGUGCGAAAGCGUGGGGAGCAAACAGGAUUAGAUACCCGAGUAGUCC